UACGUAGGGUGCGAGCGUUAAUCGGAAUUACUGGGCGUAAAGCGUGCGCAGGCGGGCUUUUAAGCCAGACGUGAAAUCCCCGGGCUUAACCUGGGAAUGGCGUUUGGGACUGGAAGUCUGGAGUGCGGCAGAGGAGACUGGAAUUCCUGGUGUAGCAGUGAAAUGCGUAGAUAUCAGGAAGAACACCCGUGGCGAAGGCGGCUCUCUGGUACGUGACUGACGCUGAGACGCGAAAGCGUGGGGAGCAAACAGG
RNAcentral lists this ribosomal RNA (253 nucleotides) under uncultured bacterium. Its description in RNAcentral is "partial 16S ribosomal RNA". It matches the Rfam family "Bacterial small subunit ribosomal RNA", at positions 524 to 776 of the family's 1533-position model. The record is from RNAcentral.